GUCCCUGUCGUCCAGUGGCCAGUGACGCUUGAUUCUCAGUCAGGAGACCGGAGUUCGAUUCUCCGCAGGGGUACCA
This 76-nucleotide transfer RNA is filed under the name Lysobacterales bacterium. Its description in RNAcentral is "Xanthomonadales bacterium tRNA-Glu". It matches the Rfam family "tRNA". From Rfam's summary of the family: Transfer RNA (tRNA) molecules are approximately 80 nucleotides in length. Their secondary structure includes four short double-helical elements and three loops (D, anti-codon, and T loops). The record is from RNAcentral. Lineage: Bacteria; Pseudomonadati; Pseudomonadota; Gammaproteobacteria; Lysobacterales.